UUARAGUYUGAUCSUGGCUCAKAACRARYGCUGGCGGCGUGCCUAACACAUGCAAGUCGAACGGGAUUAGGGGCUUGCUCCUAAUCUAGUGGCGCACGGGUGAGUAACGCGUAGAUAAUCUGCCUGAUGAUCUGGGAUAACACUUCGAAAGGAGUGCUAAUACCGGAUAAGCCCACGACGGCUUUGGUCGUUGCGGGAAAAGGGGGGGACCUUCGGGCCUUCUGUCAUCAGAUGAGUCUGCGUACCAUUAGCUAGUUGGUAGGGUAAUGGCCUACCAAGGCUACGAUGGUUAGCUGGUCUGAGAGGAUGAUCASCCACACUGGAACUGAGACGCGGUCCAGACUCCUACGGGAGGCAGCAGUGGGGAAUUUUGCGCAAUGGGCGAAAGCCUGACGCASCA
RNAcentral lists this ribosomal RNA (400 nucleotides) under uncultured Geobacteraceae bacterium. Its description in RNAcentral is "partial 16S ribosomal RNA". It matches the Rfam family "Bacterial small subunit ribosomal RNA", at positions 1 to 393 of the family's 1533-position model. The record is from RNAcentral. Lineage: Bacteria; Pseudomonadati; Thermodesulfobacteriota; Desulfuromonadia; Geobacterales; Geobacteraceae.